This 593-nucleotide long non-coding RNA is filed under the name Stegodyphus dumicola. Its description in RNAcentral is "uncharacterized LOC118203594". The record is from RNAcentral. Lineage: Eukaryota; Metazoa; Arthropoda; Arachnida; Araneae; Eresidae.
AAAAAACGUAUGUAACCAAUCAAAUCCUGAAAUUACUGACGUCCGGCUGACUCUGACCUCAGUCAUUCUUAAAGAAGAACGAUUCGAAAGACCGGGGUUUGAGGUCAUCAAGAACACCGCUAAAAUUAUUCCAGAUCGAAGGGAAGUAUUGAUGUCUUUGUUUUAUCCGCUCUACUAAAAGUAAAAUGGCAUUUAGCGUUGUACAUUUGCUAAUGACCGAUGAAGUGGCUGUCGUCCAAGCAAAUGAGUGUCAGAUGAUAAAAAGGGACAUGUAACUGGCCUUCGUAUAAAGAAAGAAGUCACAUGAAAAGAGCAAUUCUGGAACACAGAGAACCAGAUACAUCCUGAGAGAAUUUUUAUAUUGUUAUCCUGGGAGAAUAUUGUGCUUUCAAAGAAAAUCGGGCCACCAGAGAGGUACCUUGCAAUAUUAUUGAACAUAUUAUAAAAGACUGGUUGAAAAGUGUUUCAUUUAGAGAAAAGUAUCAUAAACAAAAAGGAAAAUGUACAACAGAAGGAAGUUUGUAAACAAUGGAAUAAAAAAUUUGUGUAUUAGCUUGUACGAAAAUACUGUAAUUAAAGUUAUUAAUUGUUCA